Molecule: ribosomal RNA, 869 nt
Filed under: uncultured bacterium
Lineage: Bacteria
Description: bacterial SSU rRNA
Rfam family: Bacterial small subunit ribosomal RNA
Source: RNAcentral
UCAUGUCUCAGAUUGAACGCUGGCGGCAUGCCUUACACAUGCAAGUCGAACGGUAACAGGUCUUCGGAUGCUGACGAGUGGCGAACGGGUGAGUAAUACAUCGGAACGUGCCCGAUCGUGGGGGAUAACGGAGCGAAAGCUUUGCUAAUACCGCAUACGAUCUACGGAUGAAAGCAGGGGACCGCAAGGCCUUGCGCGGACGGAGCGGCCGAUGGCAGAUUAGGUAGUUGGUGGGAUAAAAGCUUACCAAGCCGACGAUCUGUAGCUGGUCUGAGAGGACGACCAGCCACACUGGGACUGAGACACGGCCCAGACUCCUACGGGAGGCAGCAGUGGGGAAUUUUGGACAAUGGGCGAAAGCCCGAUCCAGCCAUGCCGCGUGCAGGAUGAAGGCCUUCGGGUUGUAAACUGCUUUUGUACGGAACGAAAAGACUCCUUCUAAUAAAGGGGGUCCAUGACGGUACCGUAAGAAUAAGCACCGGCUAACUACGUGCCAGCAGCCGCGGUAAUACGUAGGGUGCAAGCGUUAAUCGGAAUUACUGGGCGUAAAGCGCGCGUAGGUGGUUCAGCAAGUUGGAUGUGAAAGCCCUGGGCUCAACCUGGGAACUGCAUCCAAAACUACUGAGCUAGAGUACGGUAGAGGGUAGUGGAAUUUCCUGUGUAGCGGUGAAAUGCGUAGAUAUAGGAAGGAACACCAGUGGCGAAGGCGACUACCUGGACUGAUACUGACACUGAGGUGCGAAAGCGUGGGGAGCAACAGGAUUAGAUACCCUGGUAGUCCACGCCGUAACGAUGUCGACUAGCCGUUGGGAUCCUUGAGAUCUUAGUGGCGCAGCUAACGCAUUAAGUCGACCGCCUGGGGAGUACGG